GUGAAUCAUCAAAUUUUUGAACGCAAAUUGCACUCUCUUCGGAGAGUAUGCCUGUUUGAGGGUCAGCCUAAAAAAAAUCGACAUAGUUGCUGUUUCGCGUUGACUUUCGUCGGAAAUUGGGUCAUCUUAAACCUUUGGGUUUAAGCGACUUAAAAUUUUUUUUACAAUUCCACGACCGUUUCUAAGUUUUUACUCUUUACACGUUUAAGGUAUCGA
This 216-nucleotide unclassified non-coding RNA is filed under the name Glomus sp. Its description in RNAcentral is "partial contains 5.8S ribosomal RNA and internal transcribed spacer 2". The stretch from base 1 to 65 matches the Rfam family "5.8S ribosomal RNA", at positions 84 to 154 of the family's 154-position model. The record is from RNAcentral. Lineage: Eukaryota; Fungi; Glomeromycota; Glomeromycetes; Glomerales; Glomeraceae.